CUCCUGUGUAGCACUUAAGAUUCACAAAAUAAUUCCAAAUGCUUGUCUUGAUUUAAUUCAUAGUAAACAUUCAAGGUGAGUGACAUUGGUGUGAUGUUGUUAUUCUCACUUUCUCAAGUGAGGAAACAGGACAGGUGUGGUAGAUGUGCCUGAAUUCACAUGGCCUGAAAAGAACUGAUGUUCUUUCUACAGAUCCAGUGUGAUUUCUUUCUUUUUUUUUUUUUUUGAGGUGGAGUUUCGCUCUUGUUGCCCAGGCUGGCGUGCAAUGGUGCCAUCUCAGCUCACUGCAGCCUCCACCUCCUGGGUUCAAGCAAUUCUCCUGCCUCAGCCUCUGGAGUAGUUGGGAUUACAGGCAUGGUGAUAUGCACCUGUCAUCCCAGCUACUCUGGAGGAUAAGGCAGGAGAAUUGCUUGAACCUGGGAGGCAGAGGUUGCGGUGAGCCGAGAUCGCUCCACUGCACUCCAGGCUGGGUAACAGAGUGAGACUUUGUC
Molecule: long non-coding RNA, 491 nt
Filed under: Homo sapiens (human)
Lineage: Eukaryota; Metazoa; Chordata; Mammalia; Primates; Hominidae
Description: HSALNT0146325
Source: RNAcentral